GUGCCAGCAGCCGCGGUAAUACGAAGGGUGCAAGCGUUACUCGGAAUUACUGGGCGUAAAGCGUGCGUAGGUGGUUGUUUAAGUCUGUUGUGAAAGCCCUGGGCUCAACCUGGGAACUGCAGUGGAAACUGGACAACUAGAGUGUGGUAGAGGGUAGCGGAAUUCCCGGUGUAGCAGUGAAAUGCGUAGAGAUCGGGAGGAACAUCCAUGGCGAAGGCAGCUACCUGGACCAACACUGACACUGAGGCACGAAAGCGUGGGGAGCAAACAGGAUUAGAAACCCUCGUAGUCC
This 292-nucleotide ribosomal RNA is filed under the name uncultured bacterium. Its description in RNAcentral is "partial 16S ribosomal RNA". It matches the Rfam family "Bacterial small subunit ribosomal RNA", at positions 505 to 796 of the family's 1533-position model. The record is from RNAcentral.